RNAcentral lists this ribosomal RNA (406 nucleotides) under uncultured bacterium. RNAcentral describes it as "partial 16S ribosomal RNA". It matches the Rfam family "Bacterial small subunit ribosomal RNA", at positions 30 to 526 of the family's 1533-position model. The record is from RNAcentral.
AUUGAACGCUGGCGGCAUGCUUUACACAUGCAAGUCGGACGAGUGGCGAACGGGUGAGUAAUGUCUGGGAAACUGCCUGAUGGAGGGGGAUAACUACUGGAAACGGUCGCUAAUACCGCAUAUCAUCGGAUGUGCCCAGAUGGGAUUAGCUUGUUGGUGGGGUAACGGCUCACCAAGGCGACGAUCCCUAGCUGGUCUGAGAGGAUGACCAGCCACACUGGAACUGAGACACGGUCCAGACUCCUACGGGAGGCAGCAGUGGGGAAUAUUGCACAAUGGGCGCAAGCCUGAUGCAGCCAUGCCGCGUGUAUGAAGAAGGCCUUCGGGUUGUAAAGUACUUUCAGCGGGGAGGCGUUACCCGCAGAAGAAGCACCGGCUAACUCCGUGCCAGCAGCCGCGGUAAUUC